Molecule: long non-coding RNA, 319 nt
Filed under: Elaeis guineensis (African oil palm)
Lineage: Eukaryota; Viridiplantae; Streptophyta; Magnoliopsida; Arecales; Arecaceae
Description: long non-coding RNA (EGUI_LNC012634)
Source: RNAcentral
UAUCUUUCAACAUACAAGUCCAAAAUUAAUAAAAUUUUCACCAUUGGAUCACAAAUCUUUUGUUCUAUCAUUUGAUAUCAUCAAAUCAGGGUUUUAGUAAAAUUAUCAUUUUGCCCUUGAGGAGCAAAAAAGGCUUUUUCAAGUGAGAAAUAUUAGUACCCCUUUAACUGCUUUGUAAUCAUCAAAAUCAAUCUAGGGAUCAACAUCACAUCCCUAGGAGGCCCACUUUGUCGUCCACUCUAGCAUUCCAAUGUCAUAUGGAUUCUUGCACCAAUAUAUUGGCAUUGGAGGAAGGGCUUUAUCCCAUUUAGAGGAGCGC